Molecule: ribosomal RNA, 425 nt
Filed under: uncultured bacterium
Lineage: Bacteria
Description: bacterial SSU rRNA
Rfam family: Bacterial small subunit ribosomal RNA
Source: RNAcentral
GAAUAUUGGACAAUGGGCGAAAGCCUGAUCCAGCCAUGCCGCGUGUGUGAAGAAGGUCUUCGGAUUGUAAAGCACUUUAAGUUGGGAGGAAGGGUUGUAACCUAAUACGUUGCAAUUUUGACGUUACCGACAGAAUAAGCACCGGCUAACUUCGUUCCAGCAGCCGCGGUAAUACGAAGGGUGCAAGCGUUAAGCGGAAUUACUGGGCGUAAAGCGCGCGUAGGUGGUUCGUUAAGUUGGAUGUAAAAGCCCCGGGCUCAACCUGGGAACUGCAUCCAAAACUGGCGAGCUAGAGUACGGUAGAGGGUAGUGGAAUUUCCUGUGUAGCGGUGAAAUGCGUAGAUAUAGGAAGGAACACCAGUGGCGAAGGCGACUACCUGGACUGAUACUGACACUGAGGUGCGAAAGCGUGGGGAGCAAACAGG